CAGAUAAACACACCAUACUUAAAAGAUAUAAAAAAACUUAAUAGUUUUAAAAUACCUAUAUCAAAAAUAUUAUCGAGCCUUUAUUUUCACAGUCCUAUUUAUCGCGUAUACAACUUUUACACGUUUUAAUUAAUUUCAUAAUUCUCAAUUUACCAGAUCUUCAAAGAUGUGCGGCGGUGGUUGUGCGCCUUGUGGUAGCUGCGGAAGCUGUUGUACUAGUUGUACGAAAACCUGCUACUAUUGUCCAAAUGUUACAAUCUACUCGUGCUGUACAAAGAUCUGCUAGUAUGAUGGCGCGACGGGUCUGAGCCAGGACCUCUGGUUGUAUACGGCAAGCGAACCAAGGCGCCUGGUGCUAUGGCCUGCUGUAUACACUGGGCUGUGGGUUCUGGCCCGUACAAGGCUAUCGUGCUGUCUCUCUCCAGGGCGUUCCUGGACUUCUAGUGUCCGUUUGUGAAAAUAAAGUAAUUUAAGCGUAUAAA
Long non-coding RNA from Plodia interpunctella (Indianmeal moth), 482 nucleotides. RefSeq lists it as uncharacterized. The transcript has 2 exons. Lineage: Eukaryota; Metazoa; Arthropoda; Insecta; Lepidoptera; Pyralidae. The record is from RefSeq and is a predicted model, not a curated record.